Cucurbita pepo subsp. pepo (vegetable marrow) is the source of this 672-nucleotide non-coding RNA. NCBI's taxonomy places the organism in Eukaryota, Viridiplantae, Streptophyta, Magnoliopsida, Cucurbitales, Cucurbitaceae. The record is from RefSeq and is a predicted model, not a curated record.
AUGGGCUGGCCUUUUAUUAGCAGUAGAAUGUUGGUGGGUUAGCUCUGCCUUGUUGUGAUAGGGGGUGAAAGGAAUUGAUGAAGAAAUGUCUUAGUUGGUUGAGGGGAUCCGAAAGAACAUUGCCCCAUCUCCUAAAGUACAAAGCUAUCAAUCUGAUUGACGUUCAAAAUGCAAUUAAGCAUCUACGCCACAGGCAGAAUGGAUGAGUGAAAGGUGUUAAUGCCAUGGAGUGAGGAAUAUCUCGUCUCAUGUAAGACAAUACAAUGCACUUUGAAGUGUUGUCGAGGAACUGCAGGCCUGCUUGAGCAUAAGAUAGGCAAUUGAGAUCUUGAGCUAGCCUAUUUGUUAUGGGGAACCAAUGCUUCAGCCGGAAUAUAGCCCGAAUAUAGCUUACCUCGAGCACCUGAUGGGAACUUUAGGAACUUCUAGCUUAUGAUUUACCCCAAAUGGUAAAGCAACACAAGCUUUGAACUUCCUUGGAACAAUAAUAAAAAAAUCUCCUCUCAAGAACAUCUUGAUGGUGAAUCUGUCCUCGUUCACAUGUGCAUUUUUCUCAAUUUUACCCGUUUUUGGAACCUAAAUACAAAGCCACAUCAGAUAGAGACUCCUAGAUGAGGCACUUCAUAUACCAUGUCCGAAUGUGUCAUGUCAUAGUUAAUCAAUGUUGCUCUA